GCUGGGUGCGGUGGCGCAGGCCUGUGGUCUCAGCGACUGGGGAGGCUGAGGCAGGAGGAUCGCAAGUUGGAGACCAGCCUCAGCAAUUUAGCAAGACCCUGUCUCAA
Molecule: small RNA, 107 nt
Filed under: Marmota monax (woodchuck)
Lineage: Eukaryota; Metazoa; Chordata; Mammalia; Rodentia; Sciuridae
Source: RNAcentral